Molecule: ribosomal RNA, 253 nt
Filed under: uncultured bacterium
Lineage: Bacteria
Description: partial 16S ribosomal RNA
Rfam family: Bacterial small subunit ribosomal RNA
Source: RNAcentral
UACGUAGGGGGCAAGCGUUAUCCGGAUUUACUGGGUGUAAAGGGAGCGUAGACGGCAUCGCAAGUCAGAGGUGAAAUCCCGGGGCUCAACCCCGGGGCUGCCUUUGAAACUGCGAAGCUAGAGUGCAGGAGAGGUAAGUGGAAUUCCUAGUGUAGCGGUGAAAUGCGUAGAUAUUAGGAGGAACACCAGUGGCGAAGGCGACUUACUGGACUGUAACUGACGUUGAGGCUCGAAAGCGUGGGGAGCAAACAGG